This 253-nucleotide ribosomal RNA is filed under the name uncultured bacterium. RNAcentral describes it as "partial 16S ribosomal RNA". It matches the Rfam family "Bacterial small subunit ribosomal RNA", at positions 524 to 776 of the family's 1533-position model. The record is from RNAcentral.
GACGUAGGGGGCAAGCGUUAUUCGGAAUUAUUGGGCGUAAAGCGCUCGUAGGCGGGACUGGAAGUCCGUGUUGAAAGACCUCGGCUCAACUGAGGGACCGGCUCGGAUACUCUAGUUCUUGAGGCAAUCAGAGGGUGAUGGAAUUCCCGGUGUAGCGGUGAAAUGCGUAGAUAUCAGGAGGAACACCAAUGGCGAAGGCAGCUCGCUGGGACGGUACUGACGCUGAGACGCGAAAGCGUGGGGAGCAAACAGG